GCAAAGUCCAAUGGAAGAAGCGGUCAGAAGAGCUGCAGACCCGGAUCGAGUUGCUGGAGGAGGAGAAUGCUUUACUGAAGCAGCAGCUUGAGCAAAGGCCUUCAGCAGAGCAAGGUGACACAGUGGACAACACUGACCCCGAACCAGAGUCAAACACUGACGCAAGUAGCAGCUCCAGCACAGACUCAGAUUCCAGCAGCAGCAGCUCUUCCUCCUCUGAUGGCCGAAAAAAAAAGAGGAAGCACAAGAAAAAAGCAAAAAAAAGGAGCAAAAAGUCGAAGAAGUCGAAGAAGUCAAAGGCCAAAGGAUAUCGUGUGACAACCAUAUCGGAUGUGGUGAAGCGGUACCGCCAGGUCCUUCGAAUAAUGGAAAGGGGACACACAAUGUCAAGGGCAUUCGCAAAGGCAGGCGUCUCAAGAAAUGCUGUGAAGGACACCGCCGCAAUCGCGGAACUCUACAUAGCUGACAGAAGUGUCCUGGAGGAGAUAAAGGGCAAAAAGACGCUCCUCCAUUUAUCAAAGGUCUGCGACUCAAAAAUAAUUGGAGAGCUUUCUUUGAAGAUUGAAGAACUUAAAAAGAAAAAGAAACUGAUACCAUUCACCAAAAGAGGCUGAGGCUGAAAUGGACAGAGGAGAAAGGGGAGAGUGUUUUCAUAUAUUUAAAAAAAAAAAAAAUGUUUUUGUUUUAUUUGUUCAAACGGUUUAUAGUAUUCUUGUUUCUUUUGACUCUUAGUUUAUUUAAAAAAAAAAAAAUGUUUUUGUUUUAUUUGUUCAAACGGUAUAUAGUAUUCUUGUUUCUUUUGACUCUUAGUUUUUUUAAAAUAAUAAAGUUGCUUUCUUCUCUGAUAUGCUGCUUAUGUGUUGUUUAUUUCACUUUGCGG
Molecule: long non-coding RNA, 880 nt
Filed under: Gadus morhua (Atlantic cod)
Lineage: Eukaryota; Metazoa; Chordata; Actinopteri; Gadiformes; Gadidae
Description: lncRNA (ENSGMOG00000030834.1)
Source: RNAcentral